RNAcentral lists this long non-coding RNA (1661 nucleotides) under Carassius auratus (goldfish). Its description in RNAcentral is "lncRNA (ENSCARG00000068927.1)". Lineage: Eukaryota; Metazoa; Chordata; Actinopteri; Cypriniformes; Cyprinidae. The record is from RNAcentral.
ACAAAGUAGCAUGAACAGGAUUUUAAUCAAACAUUUAAUGUAUUUUCCCUGGUGUCUUCGAAUAGAUUUUUUACGCUGAGGUGACGUAUUCAGUUACUGUGGCGUCAUACAUAAUUUAGAAGCACACAUUGUCUUGGUUGUAGUUUAUCUGAAGAUUCAUAUUUUUAAGAUUUUGUCUUUGUAAGUCUUACAAAGUAUCCGUAUACAGCUUUUACUCAAUCACACAAACCGCAUCAGAACAUUUUGCUUUUUUAAGAAACAGUCGGAAGUUCAGGAAUGAUUUGCUACGGAGUUGGUAUCAGAAUUCCUGGUAAGUUUUUUUUUUUUUCUUCCUGUUUUUUAAGGACAGUAUGUUAAAAUUUUAACUUGUUGCUUUUUUUUGUUGGUUUAGCUUACAAAAGGCCUGAUGUGGAGAGAAGAGCUUGCAAGGAAAAGGCAAGAAAGUGUAAAAAAAAAAAAAAAAAAAAAGGAAAGAAAUCAUGCCCCUCUCCAAGUCAGAGGAUAAUAAAUUGUGUAAAUAUAGUUCUAAUGCUGUUAGGCUGAAAGUUGAACUUAAUAUAUAAUUACUGAAAUAGACGAUUACAUUUAUAUCGUUGAUAUAAAUAAACAUGUUUAGAGUGAAUCCUCAUGAAGUAAUCAUUGUGCUUUUGCAGUUGACACUCCCAGAAACUGUCAACAGAGGGCCACAGGCCUCCACUGCGCGACCUUCUUUCCUGAGUCUGCAUCAAGUCAGAGGUGAUGGGAUCCACAUAUCUUAUAACACAUAUAUCUAUAACAUUCAAUUUUAACAUCACUCUGUUAGAUGUCACUGCGUAAUCUUACAUGCCUCCUUAAAAUUUAGAGUUGCACUUGGUGCAAACAAACAGGCAAUUAACUUCCUUUUUUGUCUUGAAUCCAUUAUGUUUUGUAGUGGCUCUUCCUUUUUUGGCCAAAUUCCGACCAUCCAGACAUCUAACAUCUUGUCCAAGCAAAACAGAGUUGACACUACCAAAACUCACCAUAGAAAGCCCUGUAGAAAAAUCACAGACCUCCUAUGUGCAUCCUACCUGUCCUUCUGUCCCAGGACCGGAUCCAUCCACAGGUAAGCAAGCGGCACAAAUCUCCUUACAUGCUGAAUGUUUCAGCACUACAACAUUUAGUUUUAACCUCACUGAGAUAUCAGAAUACAGACACCUUGUAAGUUUUCCUGUCUCUAUUGUCUUGAAUCUCUUUGGUUCGCAGUGGCUCGUCCUCUGUAUAAAUUCCCGCCAUCCAGACCGCGCACCUUAAACCCAAGCAAUUUGAAGAGGUCUCUCAGAUCUGAUGUAUCUACUUCUUAAAACACUUGCAUGUCUCACUAUUAGUGUUACAUUUGAUUUCACCUGAGUCUCAAAGGUUGUGGAUCUCUGAAAACGAUGGUGAUCAAAAUAAAUAAAUAAAAAUCUUUACAGCAUUUAAUACCUGUUUAUUAUUUCUGUCAGUACUCAGGUAAGGACAUUGAGCCAUUUGAUGGCCCUGGAUACCACAGAUUGUGAGCAAGAAUAUGAUGCAUAAUAAACAAUGCAGAAAAAAUUUCUUUGUACCUGUACAUUCAAUUCGUUCAUUCAUGUCAUCAAGAGGCAAUGCAUGAUGGAAAAAUGAACAAUUUGCAUGUGGAAACUUUAGCCACUAGGUGCCUCUAU